Molecule: ribosomal RNA, 305 nt
Filed under: uncultured bacterium
Lineage: Bacteria
Description: bacterial SSU rRNA
Rfam family: Bacterial small subunit ribosomal RNA
Source: RNAcentral
CCUCGGGGCGCAGCAGUGGGGAAUAUUGCACAAUGGGGGAAACCCUGAUGCAGCGACGCCGCGUGAGUGAAGAAGUAUUUCGGUAUGUAAAGCUCUAUCAGCAGAGAAGAAGCAAGACGGUACCUGACUAAGAAGCCCCGGCUAACUCCGUGCCAGCAGCCGCGGUAAUACGGAGGACGCGAGCGUUAUCCGGAUUUAUUGGGUUUAAAGGGUGCGCAGGCGGAAUGUCAAGUCAGCGGUAAAAUUUCGGGGCUCAACCCCGUCGUGCCGUUGAAACUGGCGUUCUCGAGUGAGCGAGAAGUAUG